CGUAACAACUCGGCCAUCUCCGGCAAGCCUCGAGAAUGCGAGUUAUUAGAAAAUAGUCCAUUAUGGCCGACCAUGGAGAUGUUUAAACAACCAAGCGAAAUGUCAGACCAAAGACAGAAUGAGGGGCGAACUAUUACCACUUAUUUGUGUAGGGCAGUAUGGUACCAGUGGUGCGACCGGCUCUGAAUUCCUGGCUUGUUCUAAUGAAAAAUGGCAGAUGAGGCACUGGAAUGAAAUCAAAAAUGCCAUUGUACUGAGGAUUGUCCUGCAAUACAUGGAAAACAUGUAACACAACUGCAAAGCCAACCUAGAAGGGAAAAUAAGUGCAAGAUAGAAACAACGUGUUCAGUGGAACAACUUGUCAUCUCAAAUAUUUGAUGACUUACAUACUGAUGUGAAGUUGCAGAUAAUAGUAAACUGUUGGCCCGUGAUUAUUAAAUGCAAAAAGUAACAUUAAACCUUCCAUGCAUGAAGCAAUACAAUCCGAAGCUGGACAUUUACUUUACAACCUAGAAAGAGCCAGGCUCCUUAAUAAUGCUUGGUAGUGCUACCGAGUGAUAACCCUUUUGCAGUCAACUUUUUAAAAUAUAUUUCUCAAGAGUAUUUGAGUGGAUUUUACUUUUAAUCUGGACACAUAUUCUAUCACUGUGGAACUUUUUUAACAAUGGAAAGUGCAUAUAUAUAUAUAUAUUCAACUAUGUGGUAAAGGAUUUAUCUACGUUUAAAGUGGUCCUCCUAUGAAGAAGGGAAGAUAACUACAAAAACAGGAACAGAAACAGAUGGCAUUGGCAGACCAAAUAAAGCAGAACUAUUUUGUUUAGUUCAAUUUUAAAAACUUCAAAAAAUCCUUAAAUAGGGCACAUGUAUCCUUGGAAAUGCCAUAUUGUAAAUUGGGCUCUUUAAAAUGUGAGUGGUCUAGAGGAUAAGCCUAGUUGUCUGCCUCAAAUCCAAGGUUGUGGGUUCAAGCCCCACCAAGAUACUUUUUCAUGGCCUCAGAAACAGGAUGUCCUUACUAGUUUCUACUAAGGCAACAGACUUGAGUAAUUCUGUAAGCUUUCAGCUUUCUAGCAAUCUAGCUGAAAUGGUUAGAAAUAUAUAUAAAAUAAGAUACUAGCUGAAUUGCAAACAGUUUUUAGCUCGACUAUUCGAAGAAUAUGUACUCAACCAUCCAAUCUACUUAAAUAACCAAAUAAGAUAAUAACAUAGAAAUUCUGGUUAAGGUUUUGCAUGUGUAAUUACUUUUUAGUCAAUACCUCAGCGAAUACAUCAUGUAUUUACAUUGAAACUUUAAACACAGGCUCCCAACCAUUCAUUCUUCUUAAAUAAUCAAGUAAGAUAACUCUAUCUUGCAUAUUAUAUAAUUUUUGCCCCUUUAUUAUGCGACCUAGAAAUUCUGGUUAAGGUUUUGCAUGUUAGCACACAUAGGUUGAUAUCUCAGCAACUACUUGAUGUAUUGCAUUGAGACUUUAUACAAUGGUACUCAACCACCCAACCUACUUGAACAACCAAGUUAGAUAACUGUAUUUUGCAAAUAAUUGCCCUUUGUUAUUGGACUUAGAAUAUUAUUGUUUACAACCUAUAAUCAUUUAAUGUAUUGCAUGCUAUUUCCAUCAAGUCUGUAUUUCAUUAAUGGCUGAAUGUUUUUGAAUUUUAAACAAAUCUUUGCAGGCAUCAUUCUUAUCUAAUUUUACAGUGAUCCAUGCAUGUUUCGCCAAAACUUUUCAAUCCUUACACUGAAAAGCAGCUGAAUAGUCGAGCGCGCUGUCUCUGUGACAGCUCUUGUUUCCAUUUGUGUUGAUUUGUUUUUAUACCCCCACAAACAAAAUUUGAGGGGGUAUAUAGGAGUGAGCUUGUCGGUCGGUCUGUCUGUCUGUCGGUCGGUCGGUCUGUCGGUUUUCAUGGUUUCCGGACGAUAACUCAUGAAAGGCUAGACAGAUUUGAAAUUUUUUUGGUACACAGGUGUAACAUGUAUCAGAAGAUACAGGUCAAGUUCGAUAUUGGGGCUGGUGGGGCCAAGGUCAAGGUCAUUGUUACUAAAAAUAGAAAAACAGUUUCCGGACGAUAACUCAUGGAAGGCUUGACAGAUUUGAAAAUUUUUUGGAACACGGGUGUAUCAUCAGAAGAUACAGGUCAAGUUUGAUAUUGGGGCUGGUGGCGCCAAGGUCACUGUUACUAAAAAAAACGGUUUCCGGAUGAUAACUCAUGAAAGGCUAGACGGAUUUGAACAAUUUUUGGUGCACAUGUGUUACAUCAGAAGAUACAGAUCAAGUUAGUGAGCUUGUCGGUCGGUCGGUCGGUUGGUUUUCCUGGUUUCAGGAUGAUAACUCAUGAAAGGAUAGACAGAUUAAAAAAAAAUUUGGUACACAGGUGUCACAUCAGAAGAUACAGGUCAAGUUCGAUAUUGGGGCUGGUGGGGCCAAGGUCAAGGUCACUGUUACUAAAAAUAUUAAAACGGUUUCCAGACGAUUACUCAUGAAAGGCUUGACAGAUUUGAAAAUUUUUGGUACACAGGUGUAACAUCAGAAGAUACAGGUCAAGUUCGAUAUUGGGGCUGGUGGGGCCAAGGUCAAGGUCACUGUUACUUAAAAAAGAAAAACGGUUUCUGGACGAUAACUCAUGAAAGGCUAAACAGAUUUGAACAAUUUUUGGUACACAGGUGUAACAUCAGAAGAUACAGAUCAAGUUCGAUAUUGGGGCUGGUGGGGUCAAGGUCACUGUUACUAAAAAUAGAAAAAUGGUUUCCGGACGAUAACUCAUGAAAGGCUUGACAGAUUUGAACAUUUUUUGGUACACAGGUGUAACAUCAGAAGAUACAGGUCAAGUUCGAUAUUGGGGCUGGUGGGGCCAAGGUCAAGGUCACUGUUACUAAAAAUAUAAAAAUGGUUUCUGCUUCAUAACUUUAAUUGGGCAUGAGAUAUUGUGAUGAAACUUGCUGUAUAGGCAGCCUCUGUGAAGACAAUGCUUGUGAUUGAAAAUGGGGCCAGUGGAGUAAAGGUUUUUGUGCACUGUUACGAAAAUAGAAAAACGGACCAUCAUAUAUCAUGGGUGAUUUUAACACUGACAUUAACAAACAUACUCAAGCAUCCAGAGAUUUGAUCAACCUUGCUGGUCACUACGGCUUUUAUCAACUUGUCCAAAGUCCAACUCAUCGUAAAGGUGGUCUUCUAGAUCUUAUGUUUGCAAAACAAAACAUGCCAGAUACAAGUACUGACAUCAUUCCAACAUAUUACAGUGAUCAUUUUAUUGUAUCUAGUGUGAUACUGUCGAAUUCACUACAGUGAAAUCUGAAAAAGUUCAUCCUGUUGCUUAGAAACCAUUUGUGUUAAUAUAUGAAAUAAAAACCUGGUUUUUGGAAUUUCCAUGCUUAUGCCAUUGAUUACAAGCAUUAUUACUACAAUCAAGAAUUGUGUCAGUUUCAUCAGAAGUAUGGCAUAUAUGCCACAGUAGUGCUUACUACAAAUAUUGACCUGUCAGAUGGACUUGUUAAUUCGGCUACAGGAACAGUCUCGGGAUUUAUUCCCAGGUGGAUAAGGAUGCAUUCAAGCCCAAAUAUGUACUUGUAAAAUUUGAUGAUGAUCGUGUUGGAAGAAAAGCUCGUGAAUUCUCUAGAUGUCUUAUUCCAGAAGAGAUCAGCUAGAGCAUCAGCUAGUUUUUCUUGUCAGCAGUGUAACUUCUAAAUUACUCAACAGAUUUAAAUAAAACAAUACAUGCAUGAUAAAAGAAGAUGCAGUGUGCAGUAACCUUGGAGUUAUGGCCUCUUUUCAAAGGAAUGGUUUGCCAUUCCUGUGUCCAGGCGGCAUUUGGGGGUAUUCGUCACUCCUGUGACAGCUCUAGUUUAGUCUGUUGGAAUGUUUAUUAGAAGUGAUGAGCAUUGCUUACUGCAACUAAUAUUUAUUUUAUCUAUUAAGUUGACUUUAACGAACACAUAACAUGAAUUAUGAUUUUACAGAUACAGUUUUAUUUCAUUGAUUGUAUGGGGGUAUUUUCUAAAAUGAUGUAAUAAAAGUUAUUCUGAAUUUCAU
Molecule: long non-coding RNA, 4022 nt
Organism: Mya arenaria
Lineage: Eukaryota; Metazoa; Mollusca; Bivalvia; Myida; Myidae
Exons: 3
Source: RefSeq, a predicted model, not a curated record